AGUAAUAUGCCUGAAUUUUAAGGAAUAUUUUGAUAGAAUAUUUAUGUAAUUUAUUGUUACUAUUACUA
This 68-nucleotide transfer RNA is filed under the name Rediviva intermixta. Its description in RNAcentral is "tRNA-Ile". The record is from RNAcentral. Lineage: Eukaryota; Metazoa; Arthropoda; Insecta; Hymenoptera; Melittidae.